RNAcentral lists this small RNA (3673 nucleotides) under Pan troglodytes (chimpanzee). RNAcentral's name for it is "processed transcript". The stretch from base 720 to 773 matches the Rfam family "Editing element of GABA-3 exon 9". The record is from RNAcentral. Lineage: Eukaryota; Metazoa; Chordata; Mammalia; Primates; Hominidae.
GCCAGUGUGGCAAGUACUGCAAGAAAGAUGGAUAUUACCCUUUUCAAUUUUAGGAGCUGGAAUAUACAAUAGAUGUAUUUUUCCGUCAAAGCUGGAAGGAUGAAAGGUUAAAAUUUAAAGGACCCAUGACAGUCCUCCGGUUAAAUAACCUAAUGGCAAGUAAAAUCUGGACUCCGGACACAUUUUUCCACAAUGGAAAGAAGUCAGUGGCCCACAACAUGACCAUGCCCAACAAACUCCUGCGGAUCACAGAGGAUGGCACCUUGCUGUACACCAUGAGGCUGACAGUGAGAGCUGAAUGUCCGAUGCAUUUGGAGGACUUCCCUAUGGAUGCCCAUGCUUGCCCACUAAAAUUUGGAAGUUAUGCUUAUACAAGAGCAGAAGUUGUUUAUGAAUGGACCAGAGAGCCAGCACGUUCAGUGGUUGUAGCAGAAGAUGGAUCACGUCUAAACCAGUAUGACCUUCUUGGACAAACAGUAGACUCUGGAAUUGUCCAGUCAAGUACAGGAGAAUAUGUUGUUAUGACCACUCAUUUCCACUUGAAGAGAAAGAUUGGCUACUUUGUUAUUCAAACAUACCUGCCAUGCAUAAUGACAGUGAUUCUCUCACAAGUCUCCUUCUGGCUCAACAGAGAGUCUGUACCAGCAAGAACUGUCUUUGGAGUAACAACUGUGCUCACCAUGACAACAUUGAGCAUCAGUGCCAGAAACUCCCUCCCUAAAGUGGCUUAUGCAACAGCUAUGGAUUGGUUUAUUGCCGUGUGCUAUGCCUUUGUGUUCUCAGCUCUGAUUGAGUUUGCCACAGUAAACUAUUUCACUAAGAGAGGUUAUGCAUGGGAUGGCAAAAGUGUGGUUCCAGAAAAGCCAAAGAAAGUAAAGGAUCCUCUUAUUAAGAAAAACAACACGUACGCUCCAACAGCCACCAGCUACACCCCUAAUUUGGCCAGGGGCGACCCAGGCUUAGCCACCAUUGCUAAAAGUGCAACCAUAGAACCUAAAGAGGUCAAGCCCGAAACAAAACCACCAGAACCCAAGAAAACCUUUAACAGUGUCAGCAAAAUUGACCGACUGUCAAGAAUAGCCUUCCCGCUGCUAUUUGGAAUCUUUAACUUAGUCUACUGGGCUACAUAUUUAAACAGAGAGCCUCAGCUAAAAGCCCCCACACCACAUCAAUAGAUCUUUUACUCACAUUCUGUUGUUCAGUCCUCUGCACUGGGAAUUUAUUUAUGUUCUCAACGCAGUAAUUCCCAUCUGCUUUAUUGCCUCUGUCUUAAAGAAUUUGAAAGUUUCCUUAUUUUCAUAAUUCAUUUAAGAACAAGAGACCCCUGUCUGGCAGUCUGGAGCAAAGCAGACUAUGCAGCUUGGAGACAGGAUUCUGACAGAGCAAGUGAAAGAGCAAAGUCAUGUCAGAAGGAGACAGAAUGAGAGAGAAAAGAGGGGGAAGACGGUUCAAAGAUACAAGAAAAAGUAGAAAAAAAAAAUGACACUUAACUAAAACCCCUAGGUCAUUUGUAGAUAUAUAUUUCCAAAUAUUCUAAAAAAGAUACUGUAUAUGUCAAAAAUAUUUUUAUGUGAAGGUGUUUCAAAGGAUAAAUUAUAAAUGUUUCAUGAAGAAAAAAUUUAAAAAAUCUAUGUCUUUAUUACACAAACUAUGGUGUGCUUAUGUUUUUGUUUUGCUUUUUAAACUGAUGUAUAGCUUUAACAUUUUGUUUCCAAAGCUGAAGAUCCCCAUUCUUUCUCUUUGAAAAAAAAAGCCUAAUGCAUUAUUUUGUCAUAAAAUGCUAUUUUAAAAUUCAUGGAACUUUCAUAGGUAAAGGUGCAGUUGCUCAUUGUAGAGCACAUUUAGUCCAAUGAAGAUAAAUGCUUUAAAUAGUUUACUUCACUUUCAUCUGAGCUUUUACCACUAGACUCAAGGAAGAAUAAUUUUAACAGACAUGUAUACUCCAUAGAAACUAAACCAAAAUAGUUUAAAAAUAUUCCCUUUUUCACCCUAUUUUCAGAUAGCACAUGAGCCCAACACUCAAUUCUCAUUAUGAAGAUGUUUUUAGAGGGGCAAAAAUAUUUUGCAAGCUCUGGAAUUGUUGAAUGUAUUCUUUUAUAUAACUACAUUAAAAGCUUUAGAUUGAAAUUUAUGACUAGCAAACAAAAAUAGAAUAUAUAAACGAUAUAUGUAAAUAUACAGCAUGAGAUUGUACUUUUUUACUUUUUUAAAAUUGUGUUCUUAAAAUAUUGUGUAAGAAUCACUGCACUUGGCUGUUAGAAUGUUGUUAAAUGCUAUGGAAAUACAUUUAGAACCUGCAUUUAAGAACAGAACAGCAAGUAUGGACCACAUGGAACUUAAAACAUAUGGGUGUGAAGUCCACUUAUGUAGACAAAACUUAUAAUUUCCAAACUGUUGUCUAGUAUACAGUGAUCAGUUGCUCUCUGUUCAAGUCAUUCCACACAUUUCCCUAUUUUAGGCUAUUAUAAUAUAGAAAGAAAGUGGGAAGCAUUAGUUGGAGCUAGAAAAUGAACUGUAUAUUAUUGCUAUAUUUGCUAAUACCAACUAUUUCAAUAAGUGUUGUACCAUAUGUAGCAUUAAAUAUAAAAUACAUAAAAGAAUGUACAGAAAAUAGCUUUUAUUGAGUAAUAUUAUUACAUUUCAUUUAUACUGUAGCAAUAUAUUUGUAGGUAUACUAUGUAAGGGCUUUAAAUAAAAGAGGUCCAUUAAUACUUCCUUAUAAAAAUUCUAGUCUGUUUCAUUACUGCCCAGAUGUUUUAGAGAUAAAUAUUUAUGCAGAAGGUAUUUUUGAAGUCUCCUUUUGUCUGAUAGAGUUUAACAGAUAUUUAAAUUUAGUGUUCAGAAUCCACAAGUCAUGGUCUAAACACACUUAGAAUACUACAGCAUAAAUCUGUUAGCAUUAUUGCCAAAUAAGACAGUUGGGAUCCAAACCCAAGUCUUGAGCAAUGUUUUUCUCAAAAAGCUGCUAUCCAAUGAUACAGGAAAAUACAUUGUGUUUUCCUAAACACACUUUUCUUUUUAAAUGUGCUUCAUUGUUUGAUUUGGUCCUGCCUAAAUUUCACAAGCUAGGCCAAUGAAGGCUGAAUCAAAGACAUUUCAUCCACCAAUAUCAUGUGUAGAUAUUAUGUAUAGAAAAUAAAAUAAAUUAUGGCUCUAACUUCUGUGUUGCUGUUUAUCUUGUUAUUUUUCGGCGUUAUACUAAUGUGUUUAUUGAGAGCAUUUUACCUUCCAGACUUCUCAUGGCUAACUUUUGGUCUGUAUUUUGCUCCUUAGAUGUGAAUAUUUCUUAUUAGUCUGCUUCCUGCUACGCAAUGACUGCAUUUCUAUCAUUUCUCAGUUUGUUAGUAUAUGUGGAUAGUAUUCUACUGUAUAAAUGAUUGCAAAGUUUAUCAAAAACAAAUUAUUAUAUGUAGCUUUUCUACAGUGCUUUGCUAAACCAUGUAGUACUAGUUAAGUCUUCCUUGAAAAUAAAGAUACACUCUUAUAGGGGACAGUUCCUGUUUACUCCCAGGAAACUUUUUUAAAAGAUGACACUGAAUGUUUAUUGCACUUUAGUGCAGUGAAGUGGCAAUAAAACCUAACAUGAAUCAAGGUUGUUUAUGGCAGAUGCAUGUGUUGCUUUACAGAGUUUAGCAAAAGCUCUUAAUUUUAUGUCAUACUGUAUUCUACUCAA